AAUUUUCAUGAUGAAAGGAGGUCAAGAUCAUGAUGCAAGGAGCCUUUCUUGGAAAGGAAAAGAGAAUGUGGGUGGCCGAAGUCCCAUUUUUCAUCAAGAAAUCG
This is a long non-coding RNA of Cucurbita maxima (winter squash), 104 nucleotides long. RefSeq lists it as uncharacterized. Lineage: Eukaryota; Viridiplantae; Streptophyta; Magnoliopsida; Cucurbitales; Cucurbitaceae. The transcript has 4 exons. The record is from RefSeq and is a predicted model, not a curated record.